UUAUUUCUGUUUCAAUUUUCAAUUGUUCGGCGAUUUGUUCAUAAAAGUUCCUGCUUGAAGACGCUGAAUCUGCUGAAAUCGAACGUGAAAGGAAAUGGUUUAUGAGUUUUGUUCCAAUUUCUUUAGAGUUUUUUGGUUGAAAUAGAACAUGGUUUUUGAUUUCAGAUUCUCAAUUAAUGAUUUUCGGUUGUUCGCUGAAUCAUUUUUUGUUGUUGUUAUUGUUCAACAAUUUCGAAUUAGGAUUCAUUCUUGAAGACGCCGAUUAUGCCGAAAUCGAAUAGGUUAGCAAAAGGGGUUUC
Molecule: long non-coding RNA, 299 nt
Filed under: Salvia miltiorrhiza (redroot sage)
Lineage: Eukaryota; Viridiplantae; Streptophyta; Magnoliopsida; Lamiales; Lamiaceae
Description: long non-coding RNA (SMIL_LNC012761)
Source: RNAcentral